GACGAACGCUGGCGGCGUGCUUAACACAUGCAAGUCGAACGGAAAGGCCCUGCUUUUGUGGGGUGCUCGAGUGGCGAACGGGUGAGUAACACGUGAGUAACCUGCCCUUGACUUUGGGAAACUUCAGGAAACUGGGGCUAAUACCGGAUAGGAGCUCCUGCUGCAUGGUGGGGGUUGGAAAGUUUCGGCGGUUGGGGAUGGACUCGCGGCUUAUCAGCUUGUUGGUGGGGUAGUGGCUUACCAAGGCUUUGACGGGUAGCCGGCCUGAGAGGGUGACCGGCCACAUUGGGACUGAGAUACGGCCCAGACUCCUACGGGAGGCAACAGUGGGGAAUAUUGCACAAUGGGCGGAAGCCUGAUGCAGCAACGCCGCGUGCGGGAUGACGGCCUUCGGGUUGUAAACCGCUUUCGCCUGUGACGAAGCGUGAGUGACGGUAAUGGGUAAGAAGCACCGGCUAACUACGUG
RNAcentral lists this ribosomal RNA (466 nucleotides) under uncultured bacterium. RNAcentral's name for it is "partial 16S ribosomal RNA". It matches the Rfam family "Bacterial small subunit ribosomal RNA", at positions 28 to 507 of the family's 1533-position model. The record is from RNAcentral.